Molecule: ribosomal RNA, 1425 nt
Filed under: Triticum aestivum (bread wheat)
Lineage: Eukaryota; Viridiplantae; Streptophyta; Magnoliopsida; Poales; Poaceae
Description: partial small subunit ribosomal RNA
Source: RNAcentral
AUGGAGACCAUGUCAUAUCCUUGUUCCCCUCUUCUCUCCCUCCCCACACAUGAAGAGAGCAGCUUUUUCAUGUGGUCUCCUCAAGUAGCUCUCCACGAGAAUGCCACCAUCCAUGUUGAUCAUCCCACUGAUCAGCAACCUGAUAAUGUGUUCUUGGACACUGCAGCUCAAGAUUAUGCUAAUGAUUGGCAUCAACAAGAUGCUUCUGAUCUUGGUGUGUUCACCUAUUGUGAUGAGAGGAUUCUGGGCCAAGAGAGUGGCAACUUGGUCGCGAUCCAGGAAGAGCUCAUGGAGGAGAACAGUUUAACUGAUCUCCUCCUCACUGGUGCAGAGGCGGUCGAGGCGGGGGAUCCAAGAUUUGCCUUGGCAGUGUUCUCAAGGCUUGAUGGCCUCCUCCUUGGCAGCCCUGAAAAUGCAGCAGCCGGCUCUUUUGAUCGCCUGGCCUACCACUUUGCCCAAGGUCUGCGGUCCCGGAUCUCCAGUGCAAGCACCAGUUGCUCUCCGCCGGAGCCACUGGCGUCUGACAGAAUGUCGGCGCAGCAGAUUAUACAAGAGCUGUCACCGUUUGCCAAGUUUGCGCACUUCACUGCCAACCAGGCCAUUCUAGAUGCCACCAAGGGCGAUACACAUGUGCACGUUGUCGACCUGAACAUUGGCGAGGGCAUCCAGUGGCCAUCGUUCAUGUCAGAUCUUGCCCGUCAUGGCGGCAUGUCAUUCCACCUCACGGCGAUCACAGCAGACGCCGACUACACCGACGGCGUUCACCAUGCAUCUGCGCGGCGGCUCUCGGAGUUCGCUGACUCCUUGAACCUCCCGUUCCAGUACAGCUGUCUCUGUUUACAUAGUGAUGAAGACCUGCAUGAAUUCUCCAAGAACUGUAAAGGUUCGGUGAUCUUCUCAUGCGACACAACAAGCAUGCCUUACAAGUUGCUGAGCAAGUUACCGGCACUCCUACCUGCCUGUGUUAAACUGUUACAGCCAAAGUUAAUGGUCGUCGUAGAAGAGGAGCUGGUUAGAAUCGGAAAGGAGGUGUCUCUAUGUAAGGCCUCCUUUGUCGACUUCUUCUUCGAGGCAUUGCACCACUUUACCACGGUGUUCGAGUCACUGGCCAGCUGCUUCGUUGGUGGUAACCAGGGGGCGUGCCUGAGACUUGUGGAGAGGGAGAUGGUGGGGCCAAGGAUACAAGACUUUGUGGGGCAGUAUGGGUCUAUGACAGUUGAGGUCACUGCUCCUCGGGUUUUGGAAAGGUACGGGGCUUGUGACCUGAGUGGUUGCAAUGUUGCUCAGGCCAGGAUGCUGGUUGGGUUGUUCAAUAGGGGGUUUGAGGUUGUGCAUGAGAAGGGUAGGCUUGUGUUGUGCUGGAAGUCCAGGCCAUUGACCUCUGUGUCUGUUUGGGCUCCAAUCUUAAAAGAAAGGAGCUCAUGA